Molecule: ribosomal RNA, 1210 nt
Filed under: Triticum aestivum (bread wheat)
Lineage: Eukaryota; Viridiplantae; Streptophyta; Magnoliopsida; Poales; Poaceae
Description: partial small subunit ribosomal RNA
Source: RNAcentral
GGCGGCCUGGGACGUGCUUGAUGACAGGGGAUCCAGCGACACAGGCCUCUUGGAGCUCAGCAAAACAUUCAGGGCCUGCAAGACCGUGCGCUUCCCUAGUUCGCUGUCCAACUGGCUAUGGACGGCAUUCACAUACACAGCCAUGGUGGACUAUCCAACUCCAGCCAAUUUCAUGAUGAAUCUGCCUGCUUACCCUGUCAAGGAGAUGUGCAAGAUCAUUGAUUCUUUUCCCGCGGGUGCAGACGUCGUCGAAAAAGCUUUCGCAGCGGCGAGUCUGUACUACAAUUACACAGGCGACCAGAAAUGCUUCCAGGUAGAGGGUGGGGAUGACCCCCAUGGCCUCAGCGGCUGGGGCUGGCAGGCUUGCACAGAGAUGGUCAUGCCAAUGACGGUGUCGAAUGAGAGCAUGUUUCCGCCAUCCGGCUUCAGCUACGAAGAGAAGUCCGAGGGCUGCUUUGCUAGCUAUGAGGUUCGCCCGAGGAUGAACUGGAUCACUACUGAAUAUGGUGGCCAUAAAAUUGACAAAGUUCUCAAGAGGUUCGGGAGCAACAUCAUCUUCUCCAACGGGAUGCGAGACCCGUGGAGUCGAGGGGGGAUUCUCAAGAACAUAUCAUCCAAUAUCAUUGCUCUUGUCACAGAGAAAGGGGCCCAUCAUUUGGACUUCAGAUCUGCAACCAAGGAUGACCCAGACUGGGUUGUAGAACAAAGGAGACAGGAAGUUGAGAUCAUACAUGGAUGGAUAGAUCAGUAUAACAAGUACAUUGCACAGAUGUAGCAGUAAGAAGGUGAUGUUUGUCGAAGCUUGCAACCCUGCUUCUAACUAGACUACCACAAUUUUCACAAUUUCGCGGUUACAAUCUGCAAGAUCAACAGCCGGCGAACACAUAUGCAGAAACAUCUCUCGCGAAAUUCGUGAAGGGGGUGCUUGGUUAGACAUAAUUUAUGACUUUUUGGUUUUUGGCUUAUAAGCCAAAAAAACCUAUUUGUGUGCUUUUUUCUUUCGCUUUUAGCUUUAUAUAUUAUGUGCUUUUUGGCAUAUAAGCUAAAUUCAAAAGCCAAAAGUAAGCCUAACCAAACACCCUCGAAAGCAUCAUCUCCAGAGAAUUCCUGCAGUGAGAAACUUGAUUUGGAUACAUCUGACCAGCUCAACAAAUUCACUAUGCCAAGCCUGAAAAGUCUAGAGAUAGUGUCAAAUCACCAUAAAGAAGAC